AAGGAGUGUGACCAAUCUGAAUUAUUGGAUUUGGGUCCAGAUUAUUAGCUGACUCUAUCUCCUUCCCAUUGUUGUCUUCUCGUGCGUUUGGUGAAGAGAGAACAAAUCUGAGUUAUUGGCCUUUGAAUCAGAAUUAAGCAACACACUUUCAUUCCCCUCAUCUCCUCUCCAACCUCACAACCGUAAGCUUUAUUAGAUGAACACCACAAACAAUGGUUACCUCCUCUUCUACCUUAUCUUCCCCACCAACCGUGAGUGCUCUAAGGAGGUAGCAAAACACCAAGCAUACUUAUCCUUCCUUCCUAGCUCAGCCGUGUAACCAUUAGCAAGGAGGUUGAAGCUCAACAUCCUUUUCCCUCUUCUUGUGCGCACAGCCCACUUCAAGUAGGAGAAGGUAAGGUAAUUUUUUCGCUGCCUUCUAGUUUCCCCUACUUGGAUCGAUUCUGAGUAAGUUUUUCCCCUUGUUGGAACAUGGUUAUGCCUUGAUGGAGUCGCACUUACCAUUGCAUGCGGCUGGUUUUGAUUGGAGAAUGAGAUUUGCUGUCUUCCACUUGUAUAGCUAACCCUUGGAUGCAGCUUAGAAGCCGCUGCAUGUGCUCAAUGAAAUUUGAUCGUGAAAUAUCGAUUGCUUGUUGAACGCUGUGAAUUGCGUGAAAGUAGGAUACUCCAAAUUCGGGAGUCCAGGAGUUGCGGGUUUUUUUUCUACCAAUUGGUGAUACUUUGUAAUCCAAUAAUUAGUAAUCCAAUAAUUACGGUGCGUAAGGUCCUAAAUAUUGGACUGUUUGAGGAUAUUUGGAAUGCUUGAUUAAAGAGCUAAAGUGUCAAGGGAGACGUAAAAUCGUUUGACGAAGUAUUUGAUUUGGACAUGUUCUGUUUAUUUGCUGCUGCUGUUUUGGGAAGUUUGAUGUGACAUGCUCUUUCUGUUGAUUGUUAGCUGAUCACUCUAGUAUGCUGUAAUACUUUGAGAUGCUGGAAGAAAAUGUUAGAACAUGCCUCAAUUUGUUAUAUUUGGAUUCUUAUGGUUAGUUUGUAAAUUGUAAGGUUCUGGUCAUAUUUCGCAAAAAUAUUUUAUGCACGUUUUGAAUUCUGUCUUUUAAACGGUUUUCGCGAGCACCUUGCGAGUUCCGUUUCUGGGGCUACAGACCUCCGAUUGGAGUAUAAUUUAUAUGCACUUAAAUCCCCAGAUGCCUAGUUUCAUAUUAUAUAAAUUUUGUUUCCACAGCAUGUAAGCACGGAUUUUUAUGAUUUUUGCAAGUCAGGUAGUUUU
Molecule: long non-coding RNA, 1267 nt
Organism: Gastrolobium bilobum
Lineage: Eukaryota; Viridiplantae; Streptophyta; Magnoliopsida; Fabales; Fabaceae
Exons: 4
Source: RefSeq, a predicted model, not a curated record